ACAACGUGUUGGGUCACCCAUCUGCACACCCACAGUAAAACCUUUGUGGAUGCCUCAGCAGCUACGUCUCCCAGAAAUGGCAUCUAUGAGACCAAGGGCAUUGGGGAUGGCGGUGCUAAUCUCCUGGGGGCAAGACAACAAAGGUCCAUAGAGUUGUGCUUAGAAUAAGGCAAAAGAAGCCAUCAGCAACAGCAGCCCACAUGACGUUCAAACUACUGUUCUGGUUCCCUGCUUGGCAGGAGCAAAGCGCGUACCCUUCCGGGAAAGAGUCAAUGCCUGAGCUGUGUUGGAGAGGUCAGAGUACAGGAAAGAUUUAUCAACUGUGCAAACACCCACAUAUAUUAGUGCGAGGUUUGCCAAAGCUUUUGGUUUAAUUGCAAAUAUUUCCUUGGAACCAGCCGGCUGAGGGGUCAGGCUGGAGGUAUUCAUGGUUGCAGCAUUUUCAAGUUUUCCCUCACUUUCAGGGGACUUUCACUUAUUCCCAACGUACAGCUGGAAGAAGAAAUGGGGGGGGGGGAGGGAUUUGUCCAGAAUGUUUACCUGCAAAUGAAACUAUUGAUCUGUUGCUCAAAUUUUUCCACACUUUGCUUGUCCUGCACCUGGAAAGCUAUUUAAAUAACGGAAUAAGCCACUUGCGCAGAAAUAAGGAUGGAACACUUUCAGCCUAAGCCAUUGAUCACUUACAGGGAAGUGCUGCCAGGACUGCAGCAUUGAAACUCACUCCUCAGCGUACUCAGAAAUAAAUCCUAUUACAUCCAGUGGGUCUUAUUCCCAGGUAUAUGGGGUUAGGAUUGCAUCCUUAGGACACAAUUCUGACUCCCAUCCCCUGCCUGCAGGGCUUUACAGAGGGAGGGUCCCAUGGUUGCACUGACAGCUUUGCUGUUCAGAGUGGCUUGAGCAGAAGGGGAGGCGGAUCCGUCUGCGAUCACUAUUCGUGAUCGUUGUGCCUUCUCCAGCUUUAGAUCUGGACCCAAUAAUCUCACAUGUAAUACUGGCAAAGACUUGCCCCUUCCCUGCCCUCAGAAUGCUCUGCUUCGGUGCUUUCCAGGGCAAGGAACAUGGACUGGACUCAGAGGCCUCGUUAUCAUCAUUUUAAUCACCUGUAAUUAGUUCAGAACAGCCUCUGACACGCCAGUCGUUCAGGUACCGAGUGAGCAGAGUUUCACAGUCCAACUUCAUACAGCACAGUGUUUCUUCAGUAUGUACCUGGUCACAAGAUGUGCAGCUGGAAAAAUGGGGGACUAAACACAUUAGGUGCGUGUGUGUGGUUUAAGCACUUAAAUGUCAGGCAACAUCAGGGACAUCAAAUGAUAUAAAAUUAUAUGAAGGACCAAGGGCUUAUCCAGGCUUCCAUUUUGUGCCAGGAUUUCUAGGCACGGAUCGGAGUGGUUUUUGGUUUGGUUUUGUCUUGCUGCUUGGCCCAGGAAAAUCCAUUGUUUACUACUGAAUCGGAACAAACAUCAAUUGAGUUUUCCACAAAAUGGGCGUUUGUUCCGAUUUAGUGGUAAACAGCAGGUUUUCCCAAGGAAAGCAGCAGCACAAACGAACAAAACACUUGGACCAGUGCCUGGAAAUCACAGCACAAACAGAAGUGUGGAUUAUGAAUGUGACAUCUUCCAGACUGCCUUCUCCUUGUCUUCUUUACAAUGAAUUCAUCCUACUUGGCUAGCUCAGUCGGUAGAGCAUGAGACAUUGGGCGAAAGAUUCUUGCAAUGCAGGGGUUGGACUAGAUGACUCUCAUGGUCCCUUCCAAUUCUACAUUUCUAUUAUGUGUAGCCUUCCUUAUAGCAAGAUAUACAGUGGCUACAUGAAUAGACCUAGAUGGGCUGCAUGCUGAGCCUCAUGAGGACAUCUAUUAAGCUAUCAAAAAUUGAAAGAAAUCCCCAGACCCCAUGAAAGAUUCCAGGGAGAUACUUUCAAAGUUUAAUAAAACAUUCACUUCAUUGGGCUGCUGUACAGAUCUAAAGAUUGAUAUAGAUGUUCAGUUGGGCUCACACCAAAUUAUUGUGCAAAAUGAAGUCACAUACAUUUGAGAAGUUUCAGUUUCACAGAAUAUACACACCCUGGCACUUUGCAGCCAGUUCUUACAAGAAAAUAUUGCAUGAUGAACACUUCAAACAUACCAGAGCAAUAAAGUCAGGAGCAGCACACUUCCUUGUUCUCAUAAUGAUCUCUGUGGUCCACACCUCUCCAUAUUAUUGUACACUGAAAAGAGGCAUUGACCUUCACACAUAUAUGCACUCCAUCUUCAGGAUACCAGUUUGUUUGGAGGACCAGAAAUACAUGUGACACAAUAAAAGAGAAGUGAGCAAACAGGUGGUGCCUGCAGGAGUACCUAAAUGAUGUGUUGUUGUCCAUGAAUUACCAUGGUAAAAUUUGCAAAAUCGGUAUAUGAUGCAUACAUACUGGAUUUUCACUUAAGCAAUGCCAUGAAGUCAAAGAUCACAUAGAUAAGGGUGAGCAGAGCAUAGAUUAAAAUCUCUGCCAUGGCUGGUCUUGUGCUCACCACUUAUAUCUCAGCCUUUGUAUUCCUCACCUGUAAAAUAUGACUAUUCAAGUUACCUUUAUUGAAUGACCAUUAAAAGCAAUUUUCCAGUA
Molecule: non-coding RNA, 2598 nt
Organism: Podarcis muralis (Common wall lizard)
Lineage: Eukaryota; Metazoa; Chordata; Lepidosauria; Squamata; Lacertidae
Source: RefSeq, a predicted model, not a curated record